This 435-nucleotide ribosomal RNA is filed under the name uncultured bacterium. RNAcentral's name for it is "partial 16S ribosomal RNA". It matches the Rfam family "Bacterial small subunit ribosomal RNA", at positions 29 to 507 of the family's 1533-position model. The record is from RNAcentral.
AGCGAACGCUGGCGGCAGGCUUAACACAUGCAAGUCGAGCGGGCACUUUCGGGUGUCAGCGGCGGACGGGUGAGUAACGCGUGGGAACGUGCCCUCUGGUUCGGAAUAACUCAGGGAAACUUGAGCUAAUACCGGAUACGCCCUUUUGGGGAAAGGCUUGCUGCCGGAGGAUCGGCCCGCGUCUGAUUAGCUAGUUGGUGAGGUAACGGCUCACCAAGGCGACGAUCAGUAGCUGGUCUGAGAGGAUGAUCAGCCACACUGGGACUGAGACACGGCCCAGACUCCUACGAGAGGCAGCAGUGGGGAAUAUUGGACAAUGGGCGCAAGCCUGAUCCAGCCAUGCCGCGUGAGUGAUGAAGGCCUUAGGGUUGUAAAGCUCUUUUAUCCGGGACGAUAAUGACGGUACCGGAGGAAUAAGCCCCGGCUAACUUCGUG